AGAGUUUGAUCCUGGCUCAGAUUGAACGCUGGCGGCAGGCCUAACACAUGCAAGUCGAGCGGUAGAGAGAAGCUUGCUUCUCUUGAGAGCGGCGGACGGGUGAGUAAUGCCUAGGAAUCUGCCUGGUAGUGGGGGAUAACGUUCGGAAACGGACGCUAAUACCGCAUACGUCCUACGGGAGAAAGCAGGGGACCUUCGGGCCUUGCGCUAUCAGAUGAGCCUAGGUCGGAUUAGCUAGUUGGUGGGGUAAUGGCUCACCAAGGCGAUGAUCCGUAACUGGUCUGAGAGGAUGAUCAGUCACACUGGAACUGAGACACGGUCCAGACUCCUACGGGAGGCAGCAGUGGGGAAUAUUGGACAAUGGGCGAAAGCCUGAUCCAGCCAUGCCGCGUGUGUGAAGAAGGUCUUCGGAUUGUAAAGCACUUUAAGUUGGGAGGAAGGGUUGUAGAUUAAUACUCUGCAAUUUUGACGUUACCGACAGAAUAAGCACCGGCUAACUCUGUGCCAGCAGCCCGCGGUAAUACGGAGGGUGCAAGCGUUAAUCGGAAUUACUGGGCGUAAAGCGCACGCAGGCGGUUUGUUAAGUCAGA
RNAcentral lists this ribosomal RNA (590 nucleotides) under Pseudomonas sp. LCY16. Its description in RNAcentral is "bacterial SSU rRNA". It matches the Rfam family "Bacterial small subunit ribosomal RNA", at positions 8 to 592 of the family's 1533-position model. The record is from RNAcentral. Lineage: Bacteria; Pseudomonadati; Pseudomonadota; Gammaproteobacteria; Pseudomonadales; Pseudomonadaceae.